CAUUCAUCACCUGCUGAGUAAAGACUCUUUGGGCCCUGAAUUAUCAGCAAUGGUAAAAAAAAAAAAGGUAGUACCUACCAUGGGAGGUAGGUGAGACUCUGAGACUUCAUGGCUUCAGAUGUGACUCAGCACAUUCCAAGCUGUGGUAGAGUUGGGGAGAGACUCUGCUUGAGAAAAGGAGAGGAAAGAGAAAAGGGUACUCUGUCUUGCAUCUCAGGUACCAGCUCAGCCACAGUAGGGUAGAGAAUCAAGUGGGCUC
This 259-nucleotide long non-coding RNA is filed under the name Pan troglodytes (chimpanzee). RNAcentral's name for it is "long non-coding RNA NONPTRT011690". Lineage: Eukaryota; Metazoa; Chordata; Mammalia; Primates; Hominidae. The record is from RNAcentral.